ACCUGCCCAGGAGUGGGGGACAACAGUUGGAAACGACUGCUAAUACCGCAUAAGCCCACGAUCCGGCAUCGGAUUGAGGGAAAAGGAUUUAUUCGCUUCAGGAUGGACUCGCGUCCAAUUAGCUAGUUGGUGAGGUAACGGCCCACCAAGGCGACGAUUGGUAGCCGGACUGAGAGGUUGAACGGCCACAUUGGGACUGAGACACGGCCCAGACUCCUACGAGAGGCAGCAGUGGGGGAUAUUGCACAAUGGGGGAAACCCUGAUGCAGCGACGCCGCGUGGAGGAAGAAGGUUUUCGGAUUGUAAACUCCUGUCGUUAGGGACGAUAAUGACGGUACCUAACAAGAAAGCACCGGCUAACUACGUGCCAGCAGCCGCGGUAAAACGUAGGGUGCAAGCGUUGUCCGGAAUUACUGGGUGUAAAGGGAGCGCAGGCGGACCGGCAAGUUGGAAGUGAAAACUAUGGGCUCAACCCAUAAAUUGCUUUCAAAACUGCUGGC
This 500-nucleotide ribosomal RNA is filed under the name uncultured bacterium. Its description in RNAcentral is "bacterial SSU rRNA". It matches the Rfam family "Bacterial small subunit ribosomal RNA", at positions 124 to 640 of the family's 1533-position model. The record is from RNAcentral.